This 1057-nucleotide ribosomal RNA is filed under the name uncultured soil eukaryote. RNAcentral's name for it is "SSU rRNA". It matches the Rfam family "Eukaryotic small subunit ribosomal RNA", at positions 13 to 1036 of the family's 1831-position model. The record is from RNAcentral.
CCUGCCGGUAGUAUAUGCUUGCAUCGAAGAUUAAGCCAUGCAAGUGUGAAGUAUAAGUCUUUAUAUGACGAAACUGCGAAUGGCUCAUUAAAUCAGUUAUAAUCUACAUGAUUGUACUCUCUACAUGGAUAACCGUGGGAAAGUACGGCUAAUACAUGCAAAAAAGCGGCGGGCGCAAGUUCGUCGUUGUAUAUGUUAGCUUGAAAACCAAUGGCGGUUUCGGCCGUCGACAAAUUGGUGAAUCAUGACAUAUGUCGGAUCGCACGGUCUCGUACUGGCGACGUUUCAUUCGAAUUUCUGACCUAUCAACUUUGGAUUGUAGUAUAGAGGACUACAAUGGUGAUAACGGGUAACGGAGAAUUAGGGUUCGAUUCCGGAGAGGGAGCCUGAGAAAUGGCUGCCACAUCUAUGGAUGGCAGCAGGCGCGCAAAUUACCCAAUCCUUAAAGAGGGAGGUAGUGAAGAUGAAUAACAAACGCCGCGUGUUCAACACGUGGCGUAUUGGAAUGAGUACAAUGUAAAAAAAUUAACGAGUAGCAAGUUGAGGGCAAGUCUGGUGCCAGCAGCCGCGGUAAUUCCAGCUCAACUAGUGUAUGCUAAAGUUGUUGCGUCUAAAUCGCUCGUCGUUGGAUUUUGGGAGCGUUCAAAGCGCGUUUGGCCUGCCGGCAACGGUGUGUGCCGCGUGCGCGCUCUUAUCGAUUGUCUCGAUUUGUGGGCUGGUGCUAUUAACUUGGCGCCAACUAUCGCACGAGACCAUUUCCUGUGAAAAAAUUAGAGUGUUCAAAGCAGGGAAGUUUCACCUGUUGAAUAUCGCAGCAUGGGAUAAUAGAAUAUGACCGGCGCAGCAAUUACACCGGUGUGUUUGUUGGUUUUGAUCGCGUUGGUAAUGAUUAAUAGGAGCGGUUGGGGAUAUUCGUACUCCGUAGUCAGAGGUGAAAUUCUAUGAUUUACGGAAGACGAACUACUGCGAAAGCAUUUAUCAAGGACGCUUUCAUUGAUCAGGAACGAGAGUUAGGGGAUCGAAGAUGAUCAGAUACCGUCGUAGUCCUAACCUUAAA